AUUGAACGCUGGCGGCAUGCCUUACACAUGCAAGUCGAACGGCAGCACGGGGGCAACCCUGGUGGCGAGUGGCGAACGGGUGAGUAAUACAUCGGAACGUGCCCCGUAGCGGGGGACAACCAGUCGAAAGACUGGCUAAUACCGCAUACGCUCCACGGAGGAAAGCAGGGGAUCGCAAGACCUUGCACUAUGGGAGCGGCCGAUGCCCGAUUAGCUAGUUGGUGAGGUAAAGGCUCACCAAGGCAACGAUCGGUAGCUGGUCUGAGAGGACGACCAGCCACACUGGGACUGAGACACGGUCCAGACUCCUACGGGAGCAGCAGUGAGGAAUCUUGCG
RNAcentral lists this ribosomal RNA (337 nucleotides) under uncultured bacterium. Its description in RNAcentral is "bacterial SSU rRNA". It matches the Rfam family "Bacterial small subunit ribosomal RNA", at positions 29 to 368 of the family's 1533-position model. The record is from RNAcentral.